CCUUGACCAUCAAAGUAAUUUCUUUUUCUUUUUUUGAGACAGAGCCUUGCUCUAUCACCCAGGCUGGAGUGCAGUAGCCCAAUCUCAGCUCAUUGCAACCUCUGCCUCCAGGGUUCAAGCGAUUUUUGUGCCUCAGCCUCCCACGUAGCUGGGAUUACAGGCAAGCACCACCACACCUGGCUAAUUUUUGUAUUUUUAGUAGACGGGGUUUCCCCAGGUUGGCCAGGCUGGUCUCCAACUCCCAACCUCAGGCGAUCUGCUCGCCUUGGCCUCCCAAAGUGCUGGGAUUAUAGCCGUGAGCCACCAUGCUGGGCCCAUCAAAGUAAUUUCUAUUAAGCUUCACAAUACUGGAUGGCUUCUGCUCUCUAGGACAAUGUGUUUUACUGUUCAUAUUUGGCAGAGUCUAACAUCAUAAUUAGUUCCCUUCCUAGAGCUCAUAUCCAUGGAAUUAAGAGAGAAUAUAUUUAGGUAGAUCCCAGAGGUGAGGCUUAGGUAGAUUUAAAAAACGGCAGUAUGGGCCAUCCAUGAAACAUUCCCAGGUAGACAGCACACAUUGAAAACAGGGUUGACUGUGUUCUCUAGCUAGAGAAAAGCACCACGAAGGCAAUAGGAAUUGGGACCUUUUGAAUCAUAGGGCAGGGGUCCCCAACCCCCAGGCCACAGACUGUUACUGGUCUGUGGCCCGUUAGGAACCAGGCCGCACAGCAGGAGGUGAGUGGUGGGUGAGAGAGAUACCGCCUAAGCUCUGCCUCCUGUUAGAUCAGUGGCGGCAUUAGAUUCUCAAAGGAGCGUGAACUCCCUUGUGAACUGCACAUGAGAGGGAUCUAGGUUUUGUGCCCCUCAUGAGAAUCUAAUGCCUGAUGAUCUGAGGUAGAACAGUUUCAUUCUGAAACCAUCCCCACUCUCCCAUUCAAUCCAUGAAAAAAUUGUCUUCCACAAAACCGGUCCCUGGUGCCAAAAAGGUUGGGGACCACUGUCAUAGGGCACUGAUGGCCCUUGUGGCUCAGAGGAGCAGUACAAUAUGUGAAAGAAUGAGCUAGAACAAGAGGCAGGGUAGUGGGGGUUGUGGUACCAAUGUGGCACUAAGUAGCUGUGAGUGCUGUAUUUGGGUAAGACAUUGAAUUUUCCUGUACUCCACAGUUCCCUUCUCUGUAAAAAUCAGGAGUUUGGAUUUGAUCAGGUCUUGCUAGCUUCCAAAAGUUUUGAUUCUUAGCCUUAGUUGGUCUUCUCUAACUAAAGUUUGAGAUCAGAGUGGCAUAUUGGAAAUACAAUAUGCUGAACUGGAAAUGCCUUUUGCUGUGUAAGCUAAUGGAACCAAUAAAGGUUUAAGACACAGUGAACAGGAAACAAUUCCUGGCCUAAGCACUAUUAUUUCUCUGUACUACACCUCAAUGGCAUAAUUCCCAUGGAUAGUGGUUUGCUGCCAGAUACUCUGCAAUCUCUAUACUUGCUGCUGUCAGAUUCAAACAAACAAAAAUUACUCAGAAAAACAAAGCUUUAUUCAGAGCAAUGUUGUUAUGUGUUGAAUUGCAUCUCCCUAAAAUUCAUAUGUUUAAGUCCUAGCCCCCAGUACCUCAGAAUGUGACCCUAUUUGGGAAUGAGUUUGGUGCAGACAUAAUUAGUUUAGAUGAGGUCAUACUGGAAUAGGGUGUGUCCUACUUCGGUAUGACUGGUGUUCUUAUAAAAAGGGGAAAUUUGGACAUAGAGACACAAACACACAAGGAAAGCUCCAUGGAAGAUAAAGGCAGAGAUUUACAAGCCAAGGAAUGUCAAAGAUUGCCAGCACACCACCAGAAGCUAGCAGAGAGGCAUGGAACAGAUUCUUCUUCACAGCCUCAGAAGGAAAACCCUGCUGAUAUCUGGAUUUCAAACUCCUGGCCUCCAGAAUGACAAAGUCUUGCUUGCUCUGUCGCCCAGGACGGAGUGUAGUGGUAUGGUCUUGGCUCACUACAACCCCUGCCUCCCAGGUUCAAGUGAUUCUCCUGCCUCACGCUCCCAAGUAACGGACUACAGGCACACACCACCACACCCAGCUAAUUUUUGUAUUUUUUGUAGAGACGGGGUUUUACCACGUUGGCCAGGCUGGUCUUGAGCUCCUGACCUCAGGUGAUCCACCCGCCUCGAUCUCCCAUUAUUAACAAUCAAAUGGCUGUUCUUCGUGGUACUGGUACCAAAACAGAUAUAUACACCAAUGGAACAGAACAGAGGCCUCAGAAACAACACCACACAUCUACAACCAUCUGAUCUUUGACAAACCUGACAAAAACAAUGAAGAAAGGAUUCCCUAUUUAAUAAAUGGUGUUGGGAAAACUGGCUAGCCAUAUGCAGAAAACUAAAACUGGACCCUUUCCUUAUACCUUAUACAAAGAUUAACUCAAGAUGGAUUAAAGAUUUAAAUAUAAGACCUAAAACAAUAAAAACCCUAGAAGAAAACCCAGGCAAUACCAUUCAGGACAUAGACAUAGGCAAAGACUUAAUGACUAAAACACCAAAAGCAAUGGCAACAAAAGCCAAAAUUGACAAAUGAGAUCUAAUAAAACUAAAGAGCUCCUGCAUAGCAAAAGAAACUAUCAUCAGAGUGAACAGGCAACCUACAGAAUGGGAGAAGAAUGGGAGAAAAUUUUUGCAAUCUAUCCAUCUGACCAAGGGCUAAUAUCCAGAAUCUACAAGGAACUUAAACAAAUUUACAAGAAAAAACAACCCCAUCAAAAAGUGGGCAAAGGAUAUGAACAGACACUUUUCAAAAGAAGACAUUUAUGAGACCAAAAAAAAAAGUAAAAAAAGCUCAUCAUCAC
Molecule: long non-coding RNA, 2795 nt
Organism: Pongo pygmaeus (Bornean orangutan)
Lineage: Eukaryota; Metazoa; Chordata; Mammalia; Primates; Hominidae
Exons: 2
Source: RefSeq, a predicted model, not a curated record